CAUUGGCCGGGAAUCGAACCCGGGCCUCCCGCGUGGCAGGCGAGAAUUCUACCACUGAACCACCAAUGCUGCGCCGACAACAGCUCCGCUCCGGAGGCUCAGGAGCUCGGCCGCCGCCCGCGCCCGCGCCCGCGCCGGCCCCGCCCCCGCCCCGCCCCGCCCCGCCCCGCGCCUGCUCCCGCCCCCGCCCCGCCCGCGGCCCCGGGGCCGGGAGCGUCUCCUCCGCGCGGUGGCGCCAGCGCUGCCUGCGUCCUGCACCCCCGCCGCGACCCCCGAGGGCUGGUGCGCCCCGCCCUGCCCCGCGCUCCUCUCCCCCAGGAAGGCCUCCCUCGCACCCCCGGAACCGGCAUCCCUGCUGCUUCCAGGCCGCCCCUCCGGACCUCCUGGAGCCAGAGAGCGGGGCGGGGGCGGCCGGAACCGCCCCCGCAGGCCGGCCUGGGGGGUGCAGGAUACAGGGGAAGGGGCCCGAAGGUCGGCACUCAGACCCAGUGGCCCUCCAGGCCUCCCCCUCGCGGACUGGGCCUGAGCCGGGCGCGGGGGAGCGCAGCACCGGAAAGUUGUUCCAGAAACUGUACUGUCCGGCCCGCAUCCCCUCUGCCACCCCUGAUCACCCUUCCAGCCCCAGGCGCAGGCGGCACCUGAAUGAAGCUCCUGCAGCUCUGUCCUGCCCAGUACGAGUGAUUAUGACCUGGACCAUAAGCUGUACAGGGAAAAUGUCCCCUACAGUAGGGUGUAUGAAUACCAAAGGAUCCCUCCACUCAUCAACCGCGUGCCUGUCAGGAUCCGGAGGACCCAGGUGGGCAUGGGGGUCAAAAGCAGCUUCCGUCUUCACACGGGCCCCAGGAAGAGCCACCUGCCCCGGGAGCAAAUAAAGCUCCCGACUGAGGAGCUGCACUCCAUCAGGGGGGAGCUGAGUCAGAUCAAAGCCCAAGUGGACCGUCUAUUGGAGAAUCUGGAGCACAUGGGCCAGCAGAGGGACCAGCUUCCAACUGGGGGCCCGGGACACACUCCCA
RNAcentral lists this transfer RNA (1013 nucleotides) under Canis lupus familiaris (dog). Its description in RNAcentral is "lncRNA (ENSCAFG00030002971.1)". Lineage: Eukaryota; Metazoa; Chordata; Mammalia; Carnivora; Canidae. The record is from RNAcentral.